AGAGUUUGAUCCUGGCUCAGGACGAACGCUGGCGGCGUGCUUAACACAUGCAAGUCGAGCGGAAAGGCCCUUCGGGGUACUCGAGCGGCGAACGGGUGAGUAACACGUGAGCAACCUGCCCCUGACUCUGGGAUAAGCCCGGGAAACUGGGUCUAAUACCGGAUAUGACCGCCUCCGGCAUCGGAUGGUGGUGGAAAGUUUUUCGGUUGGGGAUGGGCUCGCGGCCUAUCAGCUAGUUGGUGGGGUAACGGCCCACCAAGGCGACGACGGGUAGCUGGUCUGAGAGGAUGGCCAGCCACAUUGGGACUGAGACACGGCCCAGACUCCUACGGGAGGCAGCAGUGGGGAAUAUUGCGCAAUGGACGAAAGUCUGACGCAGCGACGCCGCGUGUGGGAUGACGGUCUUCGGAUUGUAAACCACUGUCGGGAGGGACGAAUACGCCGCAAGGCGGGUGACGGUACCUCCAAAGGAAGCACCGGCUAACUCCGUGCCAGCAGCCGCGGUAAUACGGAGGGUGCGAGCGUUGUCCGGAAUCACUGGGCGUAAAGGGCGCGUAGGCGGCCUGAUAAGUAGGGGGUGAAAUCCUGCGGCUUAACCGCAGGGCUGCCUUCUAAACUGUCAGGCUCGAGCACAGUAGAGGCAGGUGGAAUUCCCGGUGUAGCGGUGGAAUGCGUAGAGAUCGGGAAGAACAUCAGUGGCGAAGGCGGCCUGCUGGGCUGUUGCUGACGCUGAGGCGCGACAGCGUGGGGAGCAAACAGGAUUAGAUACCCCAGUAGUCC
This 780-nucleotide ribosomal RNA is filed under the name uncultured Gemmatimonas sp. Its description in RNAcentral is "bacterial SSU rRNA". It matches the Rfam family "Bacterial small subunit ribosomal RNA", at positions 8 to 796 of the family's 1533-position model. The record is from RNAcentral. Lineage: Bacteria; Pseudomonadati; Gemmatimonadota; Gemmatimonadia; Gemmatimonadales; Gemmatimonadaceae.